AUGUUCUCUGUAGCUCUGAUACUGCUGCUGGCUGCUGGAUCCUGUGUGAACAGUAUUGAUCUCAUCCAGACAGACUCAAUGGUUGUGCAGCCUGGACAGUCUCUGACCAUCAGCUGUCAGGUCUCUGGUUAUUCUUUGACUGAUAACAGCUAUGCAACAGGUUGGAUCAGACAGAGUGAAGGAAAACCAAUGGACUGGAUUUCCCAUCAGUGGGGUGGAGGUACCCUUCAUCAAAAUGAUGCUCUGAAGAACAAGUUCAGCUACAGCAGAGACACUUCUGCUCUAACAGUGACUCUAAAAGGACAGAAUGUGCAGCCUGAGGACACAGCUGUGUAUUACUGUGUACGUGUUGAUGGUCAGACUCUGACAGAAUCUGAACCAGCGAUUAAAAGACCUGGAGAAUCCCACAGAUUGAUCUGUACAGCCUCUGGGUUGGACGUUAAUGGCUACUGGAUGGCCUGGAUCAGACAGGCUGCUGGAAAAGGACUGGAGUGGGUUGCUACUGAUACUAGUGGUGGCACCAACUACUACUCUCAGUCAGUUCAGGGCCGGUUUACCAUCUCCAGAGACAACAACAGAAAGCAGCUGUAUCUGCAGAUGAACAGCUGGUAG
Molecule: non-coding RNA, 612 nt
Organism: Perca flavescens (yellow perch)
Lineage: Eukaryota; Metazoa; Chordata; Actinopteri; Perciformes; Percidae
Source: the annotation of a RefSeq genome assembly